GAGCGCACGCCGCCUUCGGUGUUCCGGCGUCGUAGUCGUGCACUUCUCCCCUAGUAGAACGUCGCGACCCGUUGCGUGUCGGUCUACGGCCCGAGCGGUAGCCUGUCCCGUCUCGCCUCGUGCGUGCGUGGACAGACCCUCGGUCGCCCGGCCGGCUGCGCGACGGUACUCGCACGGUAUCGGGCCGCAGCGGUCGAAACGUUCUCGAACGUUUUUGCACGCGUGCGUCAGGCCCGUCGCAAGCUGGCUCAGUUCUCACCCUGGAGGUUACGGACCCGGUGCCGUCCCCGGGCCUGGCCAGCUGUUGGCCGACGGUGUCCUCUGACUGUGUCCAUAUAAACUUACCGGUCGGCGACGCUAUUGCUUUGGGUACUCUCAGGACCCGUCUUGAAACACGGACCAAGGAGUCUAACAUGUGCGCGAGUCAUUGGGAUCGAUAUUGAAACCUAAAGGCGGAAUGAAAGUGAAGGU
Molecule: ribosomal RNA, 471 nt
Filed under: Melitta budashkini
Lineage: Eukaryota; Metazoa; Arthropoda; Insecta; Hymenoptera; Melittidae
Description: eukaryotic LSU rRNA
Source: RNAcentral